RNAcentral lists this ribosomal RNA (572 nucleotides) under uncultured Glomeromycotina. RNAcentral describes it as "SSU rRNA". It matches the Rfam family "Eukaryotic small subunit ribosomal RNA", at positions 548 to 1114 of the family's 1831-position model. Lineage: Eukaryota; Fungi; Glomeromycota. The record is from RNAcentral.
UUGGAGGGCAAGUCUGGUGCCAGCAGCCGCGGUAAUUCCAGCUCCAAUAGCGUAUAUUAAAGUUGUUGCAGUUAAAAAGCUCGUAGUUGAAUUUCGGGAUUGGCGCAUCGGUCGUGCCUCACGGGGUAUGAACUGGUGCAGUCAAUUUCUCACCUUCUGGAGAACCGCGAUGUCCUUAAUUGGAUGCCGCGGGGAACCAGGACCUUUACUUUGAAAAAAUUAGAGUGUUUAAAGCAGGCAUUUUUGCUUGAAUACAUUAGCAUGGAAUAAUAAAAUAGGACGGCAUGGUUCUAUUUUGUUGGUUUCUAGGACCACCGUAAUGAUUAAUAGGGAUAGUUGGGGGCAUUAGUAUUCAAUUGUCAGAGGUGAAAUUCUUGGAUUUAUUGAAGACUAACUACUGCGAAAGCAUUUGCCAAGGAUGUUUUCAUUAAUCAAGAACGAAAGUUAGGGGAUCGAAGACGAUCAGAUACCGUCGUAGUCUUAACCAUAAACUAUGCCGAAUAGGAAUCAGGCGAUGUUAAUUUUUUAAUGACUCGUUUGGCACCUUACGGGAAACCAAAGUGUUUGGGUUC